GAAGGCGAACAUCCGUUUUCAGUAGAUUGUCGGCCUCUUUUCGAACACGUGAAAACACGCCAAUUUAUGCCAUACCUGAUAACCAAAACGGGAACCAAGACAGGUCAGAUGAGUACAUGCCACUGAAACGUAUUCAAAGUCAACGUUCACAUGAUGCACUUCCCACUAUCCCUUCCUCUGAGGCCUUGUAUGAGGAUAUUGAUGCAGUGCCAGAAGUGGGAACCUACGCUAACAUGCCGUCUGUCGAAAACACACAUGCGCCCAUCGUUCUCGACCAACUUAUCACAUAUGUGACACAGAAGACUAAUUCAGAGUCUGGUUUUCAGGAAGAU
This is a long non-coding RNA of Lytechinus variegatus (green sea urchin), 332 nucleotides long. RefSeq lists it as uncharacterized. The transcript is spliced from 3 exons. NCBI's taxonomy places the organism in Eukaryota, Metazoa, Echinodermata, Echinoidea, Temnopleuroida, Toxopneustidae. The record is from RefSeq and is a predicted model, not a curated record.